This 453-nucleotide ribosomal RNA is filed under the name uncultured Thauera sp. RNAcentral describes it as "bacterial SSU rRNA". It matches the Rfam family "Bacterial small subunit ribosomal RNA", at positions 927 to 1382 of the family's 1533-position model. The record is from RNAcentral. Lineage: Bacteria; Pseudomonadati; Pseudomonadota; Betaproteobacteria; Rhodocyclales; Zoogloeaceae.
AAGCGGUGGAUGAUGUGGAUAAUUCGAUGCAACGCGAAAACCUUACCUACCCUUGACAUGUCUGGAGCCUUGGUGAGAGCCGAGGGUGCCUUCGGGAGCCAGAACACAGGUGCUGCAUGGCUGUCGUCAGCUCGUGUCGUGAGAUGUUGGGUUAAGUCCCGCAACGAGCGCAACCCUUGUCACUAGUUGCCAUCAUUUGGUUGGGCACUCUAGUGAGACUGCCGGUGACAAACCGGAGGAAGGUGGGGAUGACGUCAAGUCCUCAUGGCCCUUAUAGGUGGGGCUACACACGUCAUACAAUGGAUGGUACAAAGGGUCGCCAACCCGCGAGGGGGGAGCCAAUCCCAUAAAGCCAUUCGUAGUCCGGAUCGCAGUCUGCAACUCGACUGCGUGAAGUCGGAAUCGCUAGUAAUCGUGGAUCAGAAUGUCACGGUGAAUACGUUCCCGGGUCUU